RNAcentral lists this ribosomal RNA (351 nucleotides) under Rhipicephalus appendiculatus. RNAcentral's name for it is "partial 12S ribosomal RNA". The record is from RNAcentral. Lineage: Eukaryota; Metazoa; Arthropoda; Arachnida; Ixodida; Ixodidae.
CCCUAUUAUUUAAGAGCUAAAUAUUGUAAGUAUAUAAUAAUUACGAAAGCAAAAAAUUAUGGCGGUAUUUUAAGCUUUUCAGAGGAAUUUGCUCUUUAAUGGAUAAAACACCUAAAUCUUACUUAAAUUUGUUAAAUCAACUUGUAUACCACUAUUAAAACAAUUAUUAACUCUAAUUGUUAAUAUUUAAAACAUAAAUUAAUUUAAAUUAAGUCAAGGUGCAGUAAAAAUUUAAGAAUGAAGUGAAUUACAUUACUUUUAAGGGAAAUAAAAUUAAAUAAAGUUUAGGAUUUGAAAGUAAAAUUAAAAUAGAAUGUUAAUUUGAAUUAAGCUCUAAAAUAUGUACAUAUC